This is a long non-coding RNA of Syngnathus typhle (broad-nosed pipefish), 443 nucleotides long. RefSeq lists it as uncharacterized. The record is from RefSeq and is a predicted model, not a curated record. Lineage: Eukaryota; Metazoa; Chordata; Actinopteri; Syngnathiformes; Syngnathidae. The transcript is spliced from 2 exons.
UCAGGGGAAAUUUUUAAGCGGCUGAUUCCACUGUAUUCCAGCAUUCCAGCAGAGAAGCUAUUUAUGGCUUUACGAGACACAGCAGACCAAAAUACCGCCUGGUUCUGGUUGGAGGAAGAGGGAGCGUGACACAUCUGACACAGUAAGCGCUAGGUGUUAAAAUGCUGCUGCGCUACAAAAAAAAAACCAGCCCCGUUUCCUGUCUGCGCCCGUCGUCCGCAUCAUUACCAGCAGCAUCUCCAACGAGGAGGGGGCGGGGCUUGAUGUGGCCCUCAAGCUGCCUUCCUGUCGUCGGGAUCCAAAGUGGUUUUCGGAUUUGACAAGCAGCAGCCGCUAGUCGGUUAGCCGAGCCGUGCUAAGCGGCCUGCUUUAAUCUGCUUCCAACAGCCAAAGGGUGGCGCCAAAGAGUAAACAAACUUGAUUUGUGUCCUUUCAUCCGUCAA